AGAGUUUGAUCAUGGCUCAGGAUGAACGCUAGCGGCAUGCCUAAGACAUGCAAGUUGAACGAGGUGACCCUUUGAUUAAGAGUGCUUGCACUUUUAUGAUUUGGAUUUUCACCUAGUGGCGAACUGGUGAGUAACACGUAGGUAACCUACCUUUAAGUUUGGGACAACAGUUGGAAACGACUGCUAAUACCGGAUAACAUGUAGAACGAAAACUUUCUAUAUUAAAAGGCGCUUUCAAGCGUCGCUUAAAGAUGGGCCUGCGCCGUAUUAGUUAGUUGGUGGGGUAAUGGCCUACCAAGACUACGAUGCGUAGCCGAACUGAGAGGUUGAUCGGCCACACUGGGACUGAGAUACUGCCCAGACUCCUACGGGAGGCAGCAGUUAGGAAUAUUCGUCAAUGCAGGAAACUGUGAACGAGCAAUGCCGCGUGAGUGAUGAAGGUCUUAUUGAUCGUAAAGCUCUGUUAUUUGGGAAGAACAACUAGAAUAGGAAAUGAUUCUAGUUUGACGGUACCUUAUCAGAAAGCUCCGGCUAACUACGUGCCAGCAGCCGCGGUAAUACGUAGGGAGCGAGCGUUAUCCGGAUUUAUUGGGCGUAAAGCGUGCGUAGGCGGUUUAUUAAGUCCAAGGUUAAAGCCCGAAGCUUAA
This 647-nucleotide ribosomal RNA is filed under the name uncultured bacterium. RNAcentral describes it as "bacterial SSU rRNA". It matches the Rfam family "Bacterial small subunit ribosomal RNA", at positions 8 to 612 of the family's 1533-position model. The record is from RNAcentral.